UGAGUUUGAUCCUGGCUCAGAUUGAACGCUGGCGGCAUGCCUUACACAUGCAAGUCGAACGGUAACAGGUCUUCGGAUGCUGACGAGUGGCGAACGGGUGAGUAAUACAUCGGAACGUGCCCGAGAGUGGGGGAUAACGAAGCGAAAGCUUUGCUAAUACCGCAUACGAUCUCAGGAUGAAAGCAGGGGACCGCAAGGCCUUGCGCUCACGGAGCGGCCGAUGGCAGAUUAGGUAGUUGGUGGGAUAAAAGCUUACCAAGCCGACGAUCUGUAGCUGGUCUGAGAGGACGACCAGCCACACUGGGACUGAGACACGGCCCAGACUCCUACGGGAGGCAGCAGUGGGGAAUUUUGGACAAUGGGCGCAAGCCUGAUCCAGCCAUGCCGCGUGCAGGAUGAAGGCCUUCGGGUUGUAAACUGCUUUUGUACGGAACGAAAAGACUCUGGUUAAUACCUGGGGUCCAUGACGGUACCGUAAGAAUAAGCACCGGCUAACUACGUGCCAGCAGCCGCGGUAAUACGUAGGGUGCGAGCGUUAAUCGGAAUUACUGGGCGUAAAGCGUGCGCAGGCGGUUAUGUAAGACAGAUGUGAAAUCCCCGGGC
This 603-nucleotide ribosomal RNA is filed under the name uncultured bacterium. RNAcentral's name for it is "bacterial SSU rRNA". It matches the Rfam family "Bacterial small subunit ribosomal RNA", at positions 1 to 608 of the family's 1533-position model. The record is from RNAcentral.